RNAcentral lists this ribosomal RNA (497 nucleotides) under uncultured bacterium. RNAcentral's name for it is "partial 16S ribosomal RNA". It matches the Rfam family "Bacterial small subunit ribosomal RNA", at positions 28 to 507 of the family's 1533-position model. The record is from RNAcentral.
GAUGAACGCUGGCGGCGUGCCUAAUACAUGCAAGUCGAGCGAACAGAUGAGGAGCUUGCUCCUCUGACGUUAGCGGCGGACGUGUGAGUAACACGUGUAUAACCUCCCUAUAAUACUGGUAUAACUUCGGGAAACCGGAGCUAAUACCGUAUAAUAUAUUGAACCGCAUGGUUCAAUAGUGAAAGACGGUUUUGCUGUCACUUAUAGAUGGAUCCGCGCCGCAUUAGCUAGUUGGUAAGGUAACGGCUUACCAAGGCAACCAUGCGUAGACGACCUGAGAGAGUGAUCGGCGACACUGGAACUGAGACAGGGUCAAGACGACUACGAGAGGCAGCAGUAGGGAACCUUCCGCAAUAGGCGAAAGCCUGACGGAGCAACGCCGAGUGAGUGAUGAAGGUCUUGGGAUCGUAAAGCUCUGUUAUGAGGGAAGAACAAAUGUGGAAGUAACUAUGCACGUAUUGACGGUAACUAAUAAGAAAGCAACGGCUAACUACGUG